GACGAACGCUGGCGGCGUGCCUAAUACAUGCAAGUCGAGCGCAGGAAACUGACGGAACUCUUCGGAGGGAAGGCAGUGGAAUGAGCGGCGGACGGGUAAGUAACACGUAAGGAACCUGCCUCAAGGAUUGGGAUAACUCCGAGAAAUCGGAGCGAAUACCGGAUAGUUCAUCGGACCGCAUGGUCCGUUGAGGAAAGGCGCUCCGGCGUCACCUUGCGAUGGCCUUGCGGUGCAUUAGCUAGUUGGUGGGGUAACGGCCCACCAAGGCGACGAUGCAUAGCCGACCUGAGAGGGUGAUCGGCCACACUGGGACUGAGACACUGCCCCGACUCCUACGGGAGGCUGCAGUCGAGGAUCUUUAGCAAUGGGCGAAAGCCUGACUAUGCGACGCCGCGUGAGGGAUGAAGGUUUUCGGAUCGUAAACCUCUUUCGAUGGGAAAGAAACCCCGCUAUGAAUAAUGGCGGGCUGACGGUACCCAGAGAAGAAGCCACGGCCAACUCCGUGCCAGCAGCCGCGGUAA
RNAcentral lists this ribosomal RNA (521 nucleotides) under uncultured bacterium. RNAcentral's name for it is "partial 16S ribosomal RNA". It matches the Rfam family "Bacterial small subunit ribosomal RNA", at positions 28 to 523 of the family's 1533-position model. The record is from RNAcentral.